CCUGGCUCAGAACGAACGCUGGCGGCAUGGAUUAGGCAUGCAAGUCGAACGAAGCAGCAAUGCUUAGUGGCGGAAGGGUGAGGAACGCGUGAGUAAUCUGCCCUCAAGUUGGGAAUAACAGCUGGAAACGGCUGCUAAUACCGAAUGUGGCUGCGAGAUCGCAUGAUUUUGCAGUUAAGAUUUAUUGCUUGAGGAUGAGCUCGCGUCCCAUUAGCUAGUUGGCGGGGCAACGGCCCACCAAGGCGAUGAUGGGUAGCUGGUCUGAGAGGAUGGUCAGCCACACUGGGACUGAGACACUGCCCAGACUCCUACGGGAGGCUGCAGUCGAGAAUCUUGGGCAAUGCGCGAAAGCGUGACCCAGCCAAUGCCGCGUGCGUGAUGAAGGUCUUCGGAUUGUAAAGCGCUGUCAACCGGGACGAACUUAUGACGGUACCGGUGAAGGAAGCCACGGCUAACUACGUGCCAGCAGCCGC
RNAcentral lists this ribosomal RNA (473 nucleotides) under uncultured bacterium. RNAcentral's name for it is "bacterial SSU rRNA". It matches the Rfam family "Bacterial small subunit ribosomal RNA", at positions 18 to 518 of the family's 1533-position model. The record is from RNAcentral.